CAUAAAUUAAUACUAAAACAUAGUCAUAGAAAAUGGAAUGCAUUACAAAGGAUUAUAUCCAUAAUAAGAAAUACUGAUUUGUCAAAGACUGAAUAAUUUUAAUAUUUCAUUUACUGUUAUCUGUUUUUGUCCAUUUUAAUUCCUUGUUAUCUGUUAUGAGCCAAAUCAAUUUGCUGUUUUGCUGUUAUUGGGACCCCCUUGCCCCCCCCUCUUUUGAACAGCCAAC
RNAcentral lists this long non-coding RNA (226 nucleotides) under Mytilus galloprovincialis (Mediterranean mussel). The record is from RNAcentral. Lineage: Eukaryota; Metazoa; Mollusca; Bivalvia; Mytilida; Mytilidae.